GACGAACGCUGGCGGCGUGCUUAACACAUGCAAGUCGAACGGAAAGGCCCUGCUUUUGUGGGGUGCUCGAAUGGCGAACGGGUGAGUAACACGUGAGUAACCUGCCCUUGACUUUGGGAUAACUUCAGGAAACUGGGGCUACUACCGGAUAGGAGCUCCUGCUGCAUGGUGGGGGUUGGACAAUUUCGGCGGAUGGGGAUGGACUGGCGGCUUAUUAGCUUGUUGGUGGGGUAUUGGCUUACCCAGGGUUUGACUGGUAGCCGGCCUGAGAGGGUGAUCGGCCACAUUGGGACUGAGAGACGGCCCAGUCUCCUACGGGAGGCAGCAGUGGGGAAUAUUGCACAAUGGGCGGAAGCCUGAUGCAGCAACGCCGCGUGCGGGAUGACGGCCUUCGUGUUGUAAACCGCUUUCGCCUGUGACGAAGCGUGAGUGACGGUAAUGGGUAAAGAAGCACCGGCUAACUACGUG
Molecule: ribosomal RNA, 468 nt
Filed under: uncultured bacterium
Lineage: Bacteria
Description: partial 16S ribosomal RNA
Rfam family: Bacterial small subunit ribosomal RNA
Source: RNAcentral